Molecule: long non-coding RNA, 309 nt
Filed under: Oryza sativa aus subgroup
Lineage: Eukaryota; Viridiplantae; Streptophyta; Magnoliopsida; Poales; Poaceae
Description: lncRNA OsNaBo_01g0021480
Source: RNAcentral
AUGGAAUGCCAUAGGGACGGACUUUGGGCCGACACCCGACACGGCAUCGCCGGUGGGGAGCACGAGCGUGUGCACGCUGAGACCUUCGCGCUGGCGCCGCAGCCGCACAAGCAACAUAGACCGGCAUACCACGCGGCCCACUUUGACAACAACGACCUCCUCCUGGGCACCCACGCGGCCAUCGACUUCUACGAGAUGGACGCAUCAGCAGCUGUUAACAUCAAGCGCAAGCAACAUCUUGAUAUGGUGGUGCUUGGUGGCUUGGUGCUAGCGUCAUACCACCUAUUAGACGAUGCUUUAAUUGAUCUU